AAAGAUGCCUUCGCUUGAAGCAGAGAAACAGCCGGCGCAGGUGCAGGUCCGGUCUGUGUGGGCCGACAACCUGGAGGCGGAGUUCGACAACAUCCGUGAGGCCGUGGAGCGCUACCCCUUCGCCGCCAUGGACACCGAGUUCCCCGGCGUCGUUCACCGCUCCCGGAAGCACCCCGCCCACCUCUCCACCGCCGAGCGGUACGCGCUGCUCAAAGCCAACGUCGACGACCUCCACCUCAUCCAAGUCGGGCUCACCCUCUCCGACGCCGCCGGCAACCUCCCCGACCUCUGCGACGACGGCGGCGUCCGCUACAUCUGGGAGUUCAACUUCAGUGAUUUCGACCUCUACCGCGAC
RNAcentral lists this long non-coding RNA (355 nucleotides) under Musa acuminata (dwarf banana). RNAcentral's name for it is "long non-coding RNA (MACU_LNC003250)". The record is from RNAcentral. Lineage: Eukaryota; Viridiplantae; Streptophyta; Magnoliopsida; Zingiberales; Musaceae.